This 309-nucleotide ribosomal RNA is filed under the name Tychiodes sp. D0343. Its description in RNAcentral is "partial large subunit ribosomal RNA". The stretch from base 175 to 309 matches the Rfam family "Bacterial large subunit ribosomal RNA", at positions 2473 to 2608 of the family's 2925-position model. Lineage: Eukaryota; Metazoa; Arthropoda; Insecta; Coleoptera; Curculionidae. The record is from RNAcentral.
GACCCUAUAGAAUUUUAUAUUUUUAUUUUAAAAGGUAUUAGUAUUUAAAACUUUUAUAAGAAAAAGUAUUUGGUUGGGGUGAUUGAAAAAUUAAAUAAACUUUUUUUGUAUUUAUACAUAAAUAAGUGGUUAUAUGAUCCUAUUAUAUAGAUUAUAAGAAAAAAUUACCUUAGGGAUAACAGCGUAAUAUUUUUUAAGAGUUCUAAUCGAAAAAAAUGUUUGCGACCUCGAUGUUGGAUUAAAAUUAAGUUUUGGUGUAGAAGCUAAAUGAUUAGGUCUGUUCGACCUUUAAAAUUUUACAUGAUCUGA